GUGGGGAAUAUUGGACAAUGGGCGAAAGCCUGAUCCAGCCAUGCCGCGUGUGUGAAGAAGGUCUUCGGAUUGUAAAGCACUUUAAGUUGGGAGGAAGGGCAGUAAGUUAAUACCUUGCUGUUUUGACGUUACCGACAGAAUAAGCACCGGCUAACUUCGUGCCAGCAGCCGCGGUCAUACGAAGGGUGCAAGCGUUAAUCGGAAUUACUGGGCGUAAAGCGCGCGUAGGGGGUUUUGUAAGUUGGAGGUGAAAUCCCCGGGCUAAACCUGGGAACUUCCUCCAAAACUGCAUGACUAGAGUACGGUAGAGGGUAGUGGAAUUUCCUGUGUAGCGGUGAAAUGCGUAGAUAUAGGAAGGAACACCAGUGGCGAAGGCGACUACCUGGACUGAUACUGACACUGAGGUGCGAAAGCGUGGGGAGCAAACAGGAUUAGAAACCCGUGUAGUCC
This 450-nucleotide ribosomal RNA is filed under the name uncultured bacterium. RNAcentral's name for it is "partial 16S ribosomal RNA". It matches the Rfam family "Bacterial small subunit ribosomal RNA", at positions 354 to 796 of the family's 1533-position model. The record is from RNAcentral.